GCGAAGGUGUCCCGUGAGGGAUGCUGGAGGUAUCAGAAGUGCGAAUGCUGACAUAAGUAACGAUAAAGCGGGUGAAAAGCCCGCUCGCCGGAAGACCAAGGGUUCCUGUCCAACGUUAAUCGGGGCAGGGUGAGUCGACCCCUAAGGCGAGGCCGAAAGGCGUAGUCGAUGGGAAACGGGUUAAUAUUCCCGUACUUGGUGUUACUGCGAAGGGGGGACGGAGAAGGCUAUGUUGGCCGGGCGACGGUUGUCCCGGUUUAAGCGUGUAGGUGUGUGUUCCAGGUAAAUCCGGUUCACUUUAACACUGAGGCGUGACGACGAGGCACUACGGUGCUGAAGCAACAAAUGCCCUGCUUCCAGGAAAAGCCUCUAAGCAUCAGGUAACAUCAAAUCGUACCCCAAACCGACACAGGUGGUCAGGUAGAGAAUACCAAGGCGCUUGAGAGAACUCGGGUGAAGGAACUAGGCAAAAUGGUGCCGUAACUUCGGGAGAAGGCACGCUGACACGUAGGUGAAGUGAUUUACUCAUGGAGCUGAAGUCAGUCGAAGAUACCAGCUGGCUGCAACUGUUUAUUAAAAACACAGCACUGUGCAAACACGAAAGUGGACGUAUACGGUGUGACGCCUGCCCGGUGCCGGAAGGUUAAUUGAUGGGGUCAGCGCAAGCGAAGCUCCUGAUCGAAGCCCCGGUAAACGGCGGCCGUAACUAUAACGGUCCUAAGGUAGCGAAAUUCCUUGUCGGGUAAGUUCCGACCUGCACGAAUGGCGUAAUGAUGGCCAGGCUGUCUCCACCCGAGACUCAGUGAAAUUGAACUCGCUGUGAAGAUGCAGUGUACCCGCGGCAAGACGGAAAGACCCCGUGAACCUUUACUAUAGCUUGACACUGAACAUUGAGCCUUGAUGUGUAGGAUAGGUGGGAGGCUUUGAAGUGUGGACGCCAGUCUGCAUGGAGCCGACCUUGAAAUACCACCCUUUAAUGUUUGAUGUUCUAACGUGGACCCGUAAUCCGGGUUGCGGACAGUGUCUGGUGGGUAGUUUGACUGGGGCGGUCUCCUCCUAAAGAGUAACGGAGGAGCACGAAGGUUGGCUAAUCCUGGUCGGACAUCAGGAGGUUAGUGCAAUGGCAUAAGCCAGCUUGACUGCGAGCGUGACGGCGCGAGCAGGUGCGAAAGCAGGUCAUAGUGAUCCGGUGGUUCUGAAUGGAAGGGCCAUCGCUCAACGGAUAAAAGGUACUCCGGGGAUAACAGGCUGAUACCGCCCAAGAGUUCAUAUCGACGGCGGUGUUUGGCACCUCGAUGUCGGCUCAUCACAUCCUGGGGCUGAAGUAGGUCCCAAGGGUAUGGCUGUUCGCCAUUUAAAGUGGUACGCGAGCUGGGUUUAGAACGUCGUGAGACAGUUCGGUCCCUAUCUGCCGUGGGCGCUGGAGAACUGAGGGGGGCUGCUCCUAGUACGAGAGGACCGGAGUGGACGCAUCACUGGUGUUCGGGUUGUCAUGCCAAUGGCACUGCCCGGUAGCUAAAUGCGGAAGAGAUAAGUGCUGAAAGCAUCUAAGCACGAAACUUGCCCCGAGAUGAGUUCUCCCUGAGACUUAGAGUCUCCUGAAGGAACGUUGAAGACGACGACGUUGAUAGGCCGGGUGUGUAAGCGCAGCGAUGCGUUGAGCUAACCGGUACUAAUGAACCGUGAGG
RNAcentral lists this ribosomal RNA (1688 nucleotides) under Salmonella enterica subsp. enterica serovar Kentucky. RNAcentral describes it as "partial 23S ribosomal RNA". It matches the Rfam family "Bacterial large subunit ribosomal RNA", at positions 1250 to 2915 of the family's 2925-position model. Lineage: Bacteria; Pseudomonadati; Pseudomonadota; Gammaproteobacteria; Enterobacterales; Enterobacteriaceae. The record is from RNAcentral.